Eriocheir sinensis (Chinese mitten crab) is the source of this 556-nucleotide long non-coding RNA. RefSeq lists it as uncharacterized. The transcript is spliced from 4 exons. Lineage: Eukaryota; Metazoa; Arthropoda; Malacostraca; Decapoda; Varunidae. The record is from RefSeq and is a predicted model, not a curated record.
ACUGGAGUACUUAAACAAUUAGUAAAUAGAAUACGAACAAGAAGGCUGUUAAAUUGACCAGCAGUAGAGCCGUUGGAUGGGCCAUUCAUGCACCCUCGCCACCAUCAUCACCAUCAGGACAGGCGCACCAACACCGUCCAACAGCUGAGCGACCAUCCGCCAUACUACUCUCCGGCCUCUGGAAGUCUCCUCGACUCUCAAAAUGAUGAAUAAGAUCCUCUCCAUGCUGCCCAUCGGGGCGCGGCAAGUCCAACAGCUCCAGUUGUGGAUUCCCUCACUGGCUGGCUUUGGAGCAGGAGCAGCAGGUCUGGGGCUGUACGUGACAGACUGGAAGGCUGUUUGUCAAUUUAUUCCCUUCUAUGGUGGCCGCUUCAAGGAGGAGGCGGAGGAGUAAGAGGCCCUGAGGAUCACCACUUCAGCUGGGUGGCCUAGUCAUGCAGAAAUAUGGCUCACCAUCAUCAUGUAAGAUGUAAUGUUUGGAAAGCAACCAUUUCCAUGCUGCGUAUGUGCAUAUGUAUAAAGUCAUCAGUAAGUUAAUAAAGUAUUUGAUAUACAA